CCUACGGGAGGCAGCAGUGAGGAAUAUUGGACAAUGGGCGCAAGCCUGAUCCAGCCAUGCCGCGUGCAGGAUGACGGUCCUAUGGAUUGUAAACUGCUUUUGCACAGGAAGAAACAACAUUACGUGUAAUGUCUUGACGGUACUGUGAGAAUAAGGAUCGGCUAACUCCGUGCCAGCAGCCGCGGUAAUACGGAGGAUCCAAGCGUUAUCCGGAAUCAUUGGGUUUAAAGGGUCCGUAGGCGGUUUAGUAAGUCAGUGGUGAAAGCCCAUCGCUCAACGGUGGAACGGCCAUUGAUACUGUUAGACUUGAAUUAUUAGGAAGUAACUAGAAUAUGUAGUGUAGCGGUGAAAUGCUUAGAGAUUACAUGGAAUACCAAUUGCGAAGGCAGGUUACUACUAAUUGAUUGACGCUGAUGGACAAGACGUGGUAGGCGACAGAGUUAGUAUACCUCGUAGUACACGCGUAACCGAAUG
RNAcentral lists this ribosomal RNA (474 nucleotides) under uncultured bacterium. Its description in RNAcentral is "bacterial SSU rRNA". It matches the Rfam family "Bacterial small subunit ribosomal RNA", at positions 338 to 812 of the family's 1533-position model. The record is from RNAcentral.